GAUGUAUUCCUUCCGUCCGGAAAUACUUGUCAUCAAAAUGAAUAAAAGGGGAUGUAUCUAGAUGUAUUUUAGUUCUACAUACAUCCAUUUUUGUCCAUUUUGAUGACAAGUAUUUCCGGACGGAGGGAGUAGUAG
Triticum aestivum (bread wheat) is the source of this 135-nucleotide non-coding RNA. The record is from Rfam. NCBI's taxonomy places the organism in Eukaryota, Viridiplantae, Streptophyta, Magnoliopsida, Poales, Poaceae.